Molecule: ribosomal RNA, 915 nt
Filed under: uncultured archaeon
Lineage: Archaea
Description: bacterial SSU rRNA
Rfam family: Archaeal small subunit ribosomal RNA
Source: RNAcentral
UUCCGGUUGAUCCCGCCGCCGGACACUGCUAUCAGGUUUCGGCUAAGCCAUGCGAGUCUAGGGAUCGCAAGAUACCGGCAUACUGCUCAGUAACACGCGGAUAAUCUGCCCCCAGGUGAAGAAUACCCUCGGGAAACUGAGGCUAAUACUUCAUAAUCACUAUAUGCUGGAAUGCUUUGGUGAUGAAAGAAUUUCGCCUGAGGAUGAGUCUGCGGCCUAUCAGGUCGUAUGUGGUGUAAUGGACCACAUAGCCUAAGACGGGUACGGGCCUUGAAAGAGGGAGCCCGGAGAUGGACUCUGAGACAUUAGUCCAGGCCCUACGGGGCGCAGCAGGCGCGAAAACUGUGCAAUGCGCGAAAGCGCGACACGGGAAGCCUGAGUGCCUUAACACAGUUAAGGCUUUUCUCAAGCCUAAAAAGCUUGAGGAAUAAGAGCUGGGUAAGACGGGUGCCAGCCGCCGCGGUAACACCCGCAGCUCGAGUGGUGGUCACUUUUAUUGAGCCUAAAGCGUUUGUAGCCGGAUCCGUAAAUCUCCAGGAAAAUUCCUUCGCUCAACGAAGGACCUUCUGGAGAGACUGCGGAUCUAGGGACCGGGUGAGGUUGAAUGUACUUCUGGGGUAGGGGUAAAAUCCUGUAAUCCUGGAAGGACGACCGGUGGCGAAGGCGAUCAACUAGAACGGAUCCGACGGUGAGGAACGAGGGCUAGGGGAGCAAACCGGAUUAGAUACCCGGGUAGUCCUAGCUGUAAACACUGCCCACUUGAUGUUGCAUCCCCGUGUAGGGGGUGCAGUGUCGUAGCGAAGGUGUUAAGUGGGCCGCUUGGGGAGUAUGGUCGCAAGGCUGAAACUUAAAGGAAUUGGCGGGGGAGCACCACAACGGGAGGAGCGUGCGGUUUAAUUGGAUUCAACGCCGGGA